CUUAGAUUGUGGAUAAUAUGCAACUCAAGAUAUCAUAAAGUAAGCUUCCAUGUACAAUAGCAGUGGUUGAAGUGAAGAAUUCAAAGUCAAGGAACCAGAACCGGAGGACUACCCUCCAAGCAAAGCAAAGAACUCCAAGCACUCGAUCCUAGCUUCUACCAAUUAAUAGCAUAGGCUCCUAUAUAUUUAGAACAUAAAUAAAUGUACCCUGAUGUUAUAAAGUUAAUGUCAAUAUAUCUAUGUAAAUUAAAUAAAUCUCAUUACAUUAAGCAUGGACGCGC
Molecule: long non-coding RNA, 281 nt
Organism: Panicum hallii
Lineage: Eukaryota; Viridiplantae; Streptophyta; Magnoliopsida; Poales; Poaceae
Exons: 2
Source: RefSeq, a predicted model, not a curated record